AGAGCAAAUCUCAAAAAAACAAUCUCAGUUCAGACUGCAGGCUGCAACUCGCCUGCACGAAGUCGGAAUUGCUAGUAAUCGUAGGUCAGCAUACUACGGUGAAUACGUUCCCGGGCCUUGUACACACCGCCCGUCAAACCAUGAGAGUUGGCAACACCCGAAGUCGGUAGUCUAACCGCAAGGAGGACGCCGCCGAAGGUGGGGUUNAUGAUUAGGGUUAAGUCGUAACAAGGUACC
This 237-nucleotide ribosomal RNA is filed under the name uncultured bacterium. RNAcentral describes it as "partial 16S ribosomal RNA". It matches the Rfam family "Bacterial small subunit ribosomal RNA", at positions 1264 to 1500 of the family's 1533-position model. The record is from RNAcentral.